AGCCUUCUGUAUCCGUGCUGAGAUUUCGUCACAUACCAGACCACAAGGGCUGAUGAGAUGUGAUAAAGCA
RNAcentral lists this microRNA precursor (70 nucleotides) under Schistosoma mansoni. RNAcentral describes it as "mir-3492 microRNA precursor family". It matches the Rfam family "mir-3492 microRNA precursor family". The record is from Rfam by way of RNAcentral. Lineage: Eukaryota; Metazoa; Platyhelminthes; Trematoda; Strigeidida; Schistosomatidae.